Molecule: transfer RNA, 76 nt
Filed under: Clostridiaceae bacterium
Lineage: Bacteria; Bacillati; Bacillota; Clostridia; Eubacteriales; Clostridiaceae
Also listed under: 1 other name
Description: tRNA-Thr
Rfam family: tRNA
About the family: Transfer RNA (tRNA) molecules are approximately 80 nucleotides in length. Their secondary structure includes four short double-helical elements and three loops (D, anti-codon, and T loops). Further hydrogen bonds mediate the characteristic L-shaped molecular structure. tRNAs have two regions of fundamental functional importance: the anti-codon, which is responsible for specific mRNA codon recognition, and the 3' end, to which the tRNAs corresponding amino acid is attached (by aminoacyl-tRNA synthetases). tRNAs cope with the degeneracy of the genetic code in two manners: having more than one tRNA (with a specific anti-codon) for a particular amino acid; and 'wobble' base-pairing, i.e. permitting non-standard base-pairing at the 3rd anti-codon position.
Source: RNAcentral
GCUGGAGUAGCUCAGUUGGUAGAGCAGCUGAUUUGUAAUCAGCAGGUCGGGGGUUCAAGUCCGUCCUCCAGCUCCA